This is a long non-coding RNA of Pogoniulus pusillus (Red-fronted tinkerbird), 724 nucleotides long. RefSeq lists it as uncharacterized. Lineage: Eukaryota; Metazoa; Chordata; Aves; Piciformes; Lybiidae. The transcript has 2 exons. The record is from RefSeq and is a predicted model, not a curated record.
AGUGAAGGAACCACAGGACCCAGCGGUGCUCAUUUCACCUGGCUGCUGACCUGCAUCUGCAGCCCAAAAAGGACUGGCACAGCCUAGAGAGCAUCAGACAAUCCUGGAAUGGGUCGGUAGGGACCUUCAUCAUCAUCUAGUCCCAGUCCUCUGCCAUGGGCAGAGACACCUCCCAUUAGAACAGGUUGCUCAAGGCCUUAAGCACCUCCAGGAAGGGAGCAGCCACAACCUCCAGGGGCAAGCUGUUCGGGUGUCUCACCCUCUGCCUUCCACUGACAAGGCAUCUCCUGCUUCCUCCCCACCUCCAAUUUGUGUGCACAUCUGCACAAAAGCUUCACAGUUUGUGCUGCGAGGAAGGAAAGCCACACAGAAGACUUUCAGCUUUCUCCCUGGGCUGACUUGUGAUGAGGCAGAGAAAGCUCCUUUCAAAUGCAAACUCCCUGGCCAGAGCCUAGGAAGGGAGAAGACUUGGGAACAUCAGACUGCAGAGCACGACUAACAAAAGACAAAUCCUCAGGACUGUCGACUGCAUUUGAAUUCACUGCUGCCUCUCCCGAAGAGCAGAGCCUUCCACAACUGCCACAUGUUAUCACUCGGAGAAGAUCUGUCUGCUCCAAGGUGUCUUUGAGCAUCUGCACCCUCUGUGUUCACCGCUCUGUGCCCGAAUUGCUUUGAAUCCCUCCGUCUGUAUCUAUCACCGUCAUUAAAUCCUGCAAGAACCUCA